GACGAACGCUGGCGGCGUGCCUAAUACAUGCAAGUCGAACGAGAGCAACCGGUGCUUGCACUGGUCAAUCUAGUGGCGAACGGGUGAGUAACACGUGGGUAACCUGCCCAUCAGAGGGGGAUAACAUCCGGAAACGGAUGCUAAAACCGCAUAGGUCUUCGAACCGCAUGGUUUGAAGAGGAAAAGAGGCGCAAGCUUCUGCUGAUGGAUGGACCCGCGGUGCAUUAGCUAGUUGGUGAGGUAACGGCUCACCAAGGCCGUGAUGCAUAGCCGACCUGAGAGGGUGAUCGGCCACAUUGGGACUGAGGCACGGCCCAAACUCCUACGGGAGGCAGCAGUAGGGAAUCUUCCGCAAUGGACGCAAGUCUGACGGAGCAACGCCGCGUGAGUGAAGAAGGUUUUCGGAUCGUAAAACUCUGUUGUUAGAGAAGAACAAGUGCUAGAGUAACUGUUAGCGCCUUGACGGUAUCUAACCAGAAAGCCACGGCUAACUACGUG
RNAcentral lists this ribosomal RNA (498 nucleotides) under uncultured bacterium. RNAcentral's name for it is "partial 16S ribosomal RNA". It matches the Rfam family "Bacterial small subunit ribosomal RNA", at positions 28 to 507 of the family's 1533-position model. The record is from RNAcentral.